GGAAAAGCUAUGAAGAGGACGAGUAGGUAGAAGCGGCUUUCAGAGAGUUGGCGGUUGGUGCGAGCCAAUAAGUUCGUUUCUACUGAAAAUCCCCUCGGAGCUGCAGGCUGAACUUGUAAGUAGGCUGGGCCGGAUUUUCCGUUAUCUAAAAUGAGGGAUUAAGGCAAAGCUUUGCUUUGUCUUAAUAAUUAGGGUGGUACCGCGAACUUCUCGUCCCUGAC
This 221-nucleotide non-coding RNA is filed under the name Caldanaerobacter subterraneus subsp. tengcongensis. RNAcentral's name for it is "Thermoanaerobacter tengcongensis T-box sequence". It matches the Rfam family "T-box leader". From Rfam's summary of the family: Uncharged tRNA acts as the effector for transcription antitermination of genes in the T-box leader family. T-boxes are found upstream of many aminoacyl-tRNA synthetase genes and some amino acid biosynthetic genes usually in Gram-positive bacteria. The record is from RNAcentral. Lineage: Bacteria; Bacillati; Bacillota; Clostridia; Thermoanaerobacterales; Thermoanaerobacteraceae.